GAUACCCGUCCCUGUGGUAGACCUGAAGCUACACGUCUGUGGCAGAGAUGGUUUCAAAGUAACAAGAGUGCCACGAUACGCUGAACUUCUUGCUGGUCUGAUGAACACUUCCAGGUUUUCAAAACUGCUGUGGGAAGAAUCAAAAAGAACAUGAAGACUUGUCUACAAACCUACGUGUGCCCAGCUAAGUGCUAAUUCUCAAUAUGAUCAGGAUUUCUAUUGCAUGGCCCCAGGCUUCUGCAGGCAGCCAGCACUGCUGUAAUUAUUGAUCUCCCCUGGAGAGCCAAGGAAUGAAAUCACAGGAAAAUGGAGCUGUGUCUUGGGAUGGUUACCUCUAAG
Long non-coding RNA from Neopsephotus bourkii (Bourke's parrot), 339 nucleotides. RefSeq lists it as uncharacterized. NCBI's taxonomy places the organism in Eukaryota, Metazoa, Chordata, Aves, Psittaciformes, Psittacidae. The record is from RefSeq and is a predicted model, not a curated record. The transcript is spliced from 3 exons.